RNAcentral lists this transfer RNA (64 nucleotides) under Pylorgus porrectus. RNAcentral's name for it is "tRNA-Glu". Lineage: Eukaryota; Metazoa; Arthropoda; Insecta; Hemiptera; Lygaeidae. The record is from RNAcentral.
ACUUAUAUAGUUUAAAUAAAACUUUUUAUUUUCAAUAAAAAAAAAGAGAUAACUCUUAUAAGUA